GACGAACGCUGGCGGCGUGCUUAACACAUGCAAGUCGAACGGAAAGGCCCUGCUUUUGUGGGGUGCUCGAGUGGCGAACGGGUGAGUAACACGUGAGUAACCUGCCCUUGACUUUGGGAUAACUUCAGGAAACUGGGGCUAAUACCGGAUAGGAUCUCCUGCUGCAUGGUGGGGGUUGGAAAGUUUCGGCGGUUGGGGCUGGACUCGCGGCUUAUCAGCUUGUUGGUGGGGUAGUGGCUUACCAAGGCUUUGACGGGUAGCCGGCCUGAGAGGGUGACCGGCCACAUUGGGACUGAGAUACGGCCCAGACUCCUACGGGAGGCAGCAGUGGGGAAUAUUGCACAAUGGGCGGAAGCCUGAUGCAGCAACGCCGCGUGCGGGAUGACGGCCUUCGGGUUGUAAACAGCUUUCGCCUGUGACGAAGCGUGAGUGACGGUAAUGGGUAAAGAAGCACCGGCUAACUACGUG
Molecule: ribosomal RNA, 468 nt
Filed under: uncultured bacterium
Lineage: Bacteria
Description: partial 16S ribosomal RNA
Rfam family: Bacterial small subunit ribosomal RNA
Source: RNAcentral